RNAcentral lists this ribosomal RNA (914 nucleotides) under uncultured marine archaeon. RNAcentral's name for it is "bacterial SSU rRNA". It matches the Rfam family "Archaeal small subunit ribosomal RNA", at positions 1 to 922 of the family's 1478-position model. The record is from RNAcentral.
UUCCGGUUGAUCCUGCCGGACCUGACUGCUAUCGGAUUGAUACUAAGCCAUGCGAGUCAUUGUAGCAAUACAAGGCAUACGGCUCAGUAACGCGUAGUCAACCUAACCUAUGGACGGGAAUAACCUCGGGAAACUGAGAAUAAUGCCCGAUAGAACACUAUACCUGGAAUGGUUUGUGUUCCAAAUGAUUUAUCGCCAUAGGAUGGGACUGCGGCCUAUCAGUUUGUUGGUGAGGUAAUGGCCCACCAAGACUAUUACAGGUACGGGCUCUGAGAGGAGUAGCCCGGAGAUGGGUACUGAGACACGGACCCAGGCCCUAUGGGGCGCAGCAGGCGAGAAAACUUUGCAAUGUGCGAAAGCACGACAAGGUUAAUCCGAGUGAUUUGUGCUAAACGAAUCUUUUGUUAGUCCUAGAAACACUAACGAAUAAGGGGUGGGCAAGUUCUGGUGUCAGCCGCCGCGGUAAAACCAGCACCUCAAGUGGUCAGGAUGAUUAUUGGGCCUAAAGCAUCCGUAGCCGGCUCUGUAAGUUUUCGGUUAAAUCUGUACGCUUAACGUACAGGCUGCCGGGAAUACUGCAAAGCUAGGGAGUGGGAGAGGUAGACGGUACUCGGUAGGAAGUGGUAAAAUGCUUUGAUCUAUCGAUGACCACCUGUGGCGAAGGCGGUCUACUAGAACACGUCCGACGGUGAGGGAUGAAAGCUGGGGGAGCAAACCGGAUUAGAUACCCGGGUAGUCCCAGCUGUAAACUAUGCAAACUCAGUGAUGCAUUGGCUUGUGGCCAAUGCAGUGCUGCAGGGAAGCCGUUAAGUUUGCCGCCUGGGAAGUACGUACGCAAGUAUGAAACUUAAAGGAAUUGGCGGGGGAGCACCACAAGGGGUGAAGCCUGCGGUUCAAUUGGAGUCAACGCCGGG